GUGCUUGCUUUAGCAGCUCAUAUACUAAAAUCGGAACGACACAGACGAGAUUAGCAUGAACCCUGUGCAAGGAUGACAUGCAAAUUCGUGAAGCGUUUCCAUAUUUU
This is a small nuclear RNA of Tupaia belangeri (northern tree shrew), 107 nucleotides long. Lineage: Eukaryota; Metazoa; Chordata; Mammalia; Scandentia; Tupaiidae. The record is from Ensembl.